This 644-nucleotide ribosomal RNA is filed under the name uncultured bacterium. Its description in RNAcentral is "bacterial SSU rRNA". It matches the Rfam family "Bacterial small subunit ribosomal RNA", at positions 232 to 885 of the family's 1533-position model. The record is from RNAcentral.
CGCGGCCUAUCAGCUUGUUGGUGGGGUAGUGGCUUACCAAGGCUUUGACGGGUAGCCGGCCUGAGAGGGUGACCGGCCACAUUGGGACUGAGAUACGGCCCAGACUCCUACGGGAGGCAGCAGUGGGGAAUAUUGCACAAUGGGUGGAAGCCUGAUGCAGCAACGCCGUGUGCGGGAUGACGGCCUUCGGGUUGUAAACCGCUUUCGCUCAUGACGAAGCUUUGUGUGACGGUAGUGGGUAAAGAAGCACCGGCUAACUACGUGCCAGCAGCCGCGGUGAUACGUAGGGUGCGAGCGUUGUCCGGAUUUAUUGGGCGUAAAGGGCUCGUAGGUGGUUGAUCGCGUCGGAAGUGUAAUCUUGGGGCUUAACCCUGAGCGUGCUUUUGAUACGGGUUGACUUGAGGAAGGUAGGGGAGAAUGGAAUUCCUGGUGGAGCGGUGGAAUGCGCAGAUAUCAGGAGGAACACCGGUGGCGAAGGCGGUUCUCUGGGCCUUUCCUGACGCUGAGGAGCGAAAGCGUGGGGAGCGAACAGGCUUAGAUACCCUGGUAGUCCACGCUGUAAACGGUGGGUACUAGGUGUGGGGUCCAUUCCACGGGUUCCGUGCCGUAGCUAACGCUUUAAGUACCCCGCCUGGGGAGUACGG